GCACGGUCCAGUUUACUGGAUGGGUGGCGAGUGGCGAACGGGUGAGUAACGCGUAGGAAUAUACCUUAAAGAGGGGGACAACCUGGGGAAACUCAGGCUAAUACCGCAUAAUCUCUGAGGAGAGAAGCUGGGGACCGCAAGGCCUGGCGCUUUAAGAUUAGCCUGCGUCCGAUUAGCUAGUUGGUGAGGUAAGGGCUCACCAAGGCGACGAUCGGUAGCUGGUCUGAGAGGAUGGCCAGCCACACUGGAACUGAGACACGGUCCAGACUCUUACGGGAGGCAGCAGUGGGGAAUAUUGGACAAUGGGGGGAACCCUGAUCCAGCAAUGCCGCGUGUGUGAAGAAGGCCUGAGGGUUGUAAAGCACUUUCAGUGGGGAGGAGGGUUGAGAGGUUAAGAGCUGCUUGACUGGACGUUACCCACAGAAGAAGCACCGGCUAACUCCGUGCCAGCAGCCGCGGUAAUACGGAGGGUGCGAGCGUUAAUCGGAAUUACUGGGCGUAAAGGGUGCGCAGGUGGUUUGAUAAGUUAUCUGUAAAAGCCCUGGGCUCAACCUGGGAAGG
Molecule: ribosomal RNA, 561 nt
Filed under: uncultured bacterium
Lineage: Bacteria
Description: bacterial SSU rRNA
Rfam family: Bacterial small subunit ribosomal RNA
Source: RNAcentral